RNAcentral lists this ribosomal RNA (425 nucleotides) under uncultured bacterium. RNAcentral's name for it is "bacterial SSU rRNA". It matches the Rfam family "Bacterial small subunit ribosomal RNA", at positions 354 to 776 of the family's 1533-position model. The record is from RNAcentral.
GUGAGGAAUAUUGGUCAAUGGGCGGAAGCCUGAACCAGCCAAGUCGCGUGAGGGAGUGAGGCCCUGCGGGUCGUAAACCUCUUUUGCCGGGGAGCAGUGCCGCCCAUGUAUGGGCGGAGGGAGAGUACCCGGAGAAAAAGCAUCGGCUAACUCCGUGCCAGCAGCCGCGGUAAUACGGAGGAUGCGAGCGUUAUCCGGAUUUAUUGGGUUUAAAGGGUGCGCAGGCGGCGCCCCAAGUCAGCGGUCAAAUCGAGGGGCUCAACCCCUUUCCGCCGUUGAAACUGGGGUGCUAGAGUGGGCGAGAAGUAGGCGGAACGCGUGGUGUAGCGGUGAAAUGCAUAGAUAUCACGCAGAACCCCGAUUGCGAAGGCAGCCUACCGGCGCUCUACUGACGCUCAUGCACGAAAGCGCGGGGAUCGAACAGG